This 204-nucleotide ribosomal RNA is filed under the name uncultured soil bacterium. RNAcentral describes it as "partial 16S ribosomal RNA". It matches the Rfam family "Bacterial small subunit ribosomal RNA", at positions 26 to 229 of the family's 1533-position model. The record is from RNAcentral.
AGAUUGAACGCUGGCGGCAGGCCUAACACAUGCAAGUCGAGCGGCAGCACGGGUACUUGUACCUGGUGGCGAGCGGCGGACGGGUGAGUAAUGCCUAGGAAUCUGCCUGAUAGUGGGGGAUAACGUUCGGAAACGGACGCUAAUACCGCAUACGUCCUACGGGAGAAAGUGGGGGAUCGUUCGGACCUCACGCUAUCAGAUGAG